CAGCCGCCGCGGUAAAACGAGGGGGGCAAGCGUUGUUCGGAAUUAUUGGGCGUAAAGGGUGCGUAGGCGGUUUGGCAAGUUUGGUGUGAAAUCUUCGGGCUCAACUCGAAGUCUGCAUCGAAAACUGCCGGGCUUGAGUAUGGGAGAGGUGAGUGGAAUUUCCGGUGUAGCGGUGAAAUGCGUAGAGAUCUGGAGGAAUACCGAUGGCGAAGGCAGCCAUCUGGCCUAAUACUGACGCUGAGGUACGAAAGCAUGGGGAGCAAACAGGAUCAGAUACCCGCGUAGUCCCUGUCUCUUAUAA
RNAcentral lists this ribosomal RNA (301 nucleotides) under uncultured bacterium. RNAcentral describes it as "partial 16S ribosomal RNA". It matches the Rfam family "Bacterial small subunit ribosomal RNA", at positions 509 to 809 of the family's 1533-position model. The record is from RNAcentral.